AAGCACCGGCUAACUACGUGCCAGCAGCCGCGGUGAUACGUAGGGUGCGAGCGUUGUCCGGAUUUAUUGGGCGUAAAGAGCUUGUAGGCGGUUUGUCGCGUCGGGAGUGAAAACUCAGGGCUUAACUCUGAGCUUGCUUUCGAUACGGGCUGACUUGAGGAAGGUAGGGGAGAAUGGAAUUCCUGGUGAAGCGGUGGAAUGCGUAGAUAUCAGGAGGAACACCGGUGGCGAAGGCGGUUCUCUGGACCUUUCCUGACGCUUAGAAGCGAAAGCGUGGGGAGCAAACAGGCUUAGAUACCCUGGUAGUCCACGCUGUAAACGGUGGGUACUAGGUGUGGGGGACAUUCCACGUUCUCCGUGCCGUAGCUAACGCAUUAAGUACCCCGCCUGGGGAGUACGGCCGCAAGGCUAAAACUCAAAGGAAUUGACGG
RNAcentral lists this ribosomal RNA (431 nucleotides) under uncultured bacterium. Its description in RNAcentral is "bacterial SSU rRNA". It matches the Rfam family "Bacterial small subunit ribosomal RNA", at positions 488 to 916 of the family's 1533-position model. The record is from RNAcentral.